This 57-nucleotide small RNA is filed under the name Saccharolobus solfataricus P2. Its description in RNAcentral is "snoRNA-like RNA". The record is from RNAcentral. Lineage: Archaea; Thermoproteati; Thermoproteota; Thermoprotei; Sulfolobales; Sulfolobaceae.
AAAGCGUAUCGACGAUAUAUACAAGAUAACUGAAGAGGGAAGAAAACUAAUAGAGAG